AAAAAACGUGAGCGGGGCGAAGCCUGAUCCGCAUGCCGCGUGUGGGAAGAAGGCCUUCGGGUUGUAAACCACUUUUGGCGGGAAAGAAAUGGUCUGUGCUAAUACCACGGAUCGAUGACGGUACCCGCAGAAUAAGCACCGGCUAACUACGUACCAGCAGCCGCGGUAAUACGUAGGGUGCGAGCGUUAAUCGGAAUUACUGGGCGUAAAGCGUGCGCAGGCGGUUGGGAAAGAUAGAUGUGAAAUCCCUGGGCUCAACCUAGGAAUUGCAUUUGUGACUGCUCGACUAGAGUACGGUAGAGGGGAGUGGAAUUCCGCGUGUAGCAGUGAAAUGCGUAGAUAUGCGGAGGAACACCGAUGGCGAAGGCAGCUCCCUGGACCUGUACUGACGCUCAUGCACGAAAGCGUGGGGAGCAAACAGGAUUAGAUACCCUGUAGUCCACGCCCUAAACGAUGUCGACUAGUUGUUGGACGGGAAACUGUUCAGUAACGAAGCUAACGCGUGAAGUCGACCGCCUGGGGAGUACGGCCGCAAGG
RNAcentral lists this ribosomal RNA (537 nucleotides) under uncultured bacterium. RNAcentral describes it as "bacterial SSU rRNA". It matches the Rfam family "Bacterial small subunit ribosomal RNA", at positions 357 to 893 of the family's 1533-position model. The record is from RNAcentral.